This is a long non-coding RNA of Erinaceus europaeus (western European hedgehog), 1317 nucleotides long. RefSeq lists it as uncharacterized. The record is from RefSeq and is a predicted model, not a curated record. Lineage: Eukaryota; Metazoa; Chordata; Mammalia; Eulipotyphla; Erinaceidae. The transcript is spliced from 3 exons.
AGGAAGGAAGGAAAAGAAAAUGAAGAGAAAAGAAAAGGAAAAUAAAGAAACAUUGUGUUUGGAAGAAAAGUCAUGGUGCAUUUUUGCACAGAAAAACAGAGAGAAAUAUAUCAUGACUUUUCUGACAGCCCAAUAUAUAUUUUUAUCUUUAUAGUGAUUUAAUAGCAAUUUACAACAUUGUAAGAUAUUAGGGGUAUAAUUCCAUACCCCCAUAGUUCUCCCAAGAUCAUAGUCAUGGGUUAACUACGUAUACGUUUUUCCUUCUUUUUUCAAAUUCUUGUGUUUCAAAUCUCUAUACUCCACUAGUCAUCCUUCCUUUUUCUUCUUCCCUCUCAGUGGGCAAAAAGGUUACACAAUGCCAGAACACAGACUUAACCCUCUGCCACUGAGCUGCCAGCUGGGCCCCUUUAAUCAAAGCGCUGAUCUGGUGAAGUGCCGGAAUGCAUCAUCUACAAAGAGCAAGACUUGAAAUGUGUCCUUUCAUAAGCGGAGGAGGCCCUCAACAAACUCAACAAUGAGCCCUGAAGUGGUUUAUCGCUGGGGCCCAGUGCCUGCACCAUGAAUCCACUGCUCCUGGAGGCAAUUUCUUUUUUUUUUAAUUUUUUUUAAUUAAGAAAGGAUUAAUUAACACAACCAUAGGGUAGGAGGGGUACAACUCCACACAAUUCCCACCACCCAGUCUCCAUAUCCCACCCCCUCCCCCGAUAGCUUUCCCAUUCUCUAUCCCUCUGGGAGCAUGGACCCAGGGUCAUUGAGGGUUGCAGAAGGUAGAAGGUCUGGCUUCUGUAAUUGCUUCCCCGCUGAACAUGGGCGUUGACUGGUCGGUCCAUACUCCCAGUCUGCCUCUCUCUUUCCCUAGUAGGGUAGGUCUCUGGGGAAGCUGAGCUCCAGGACACAUUGGUGGGGUCUUCAAUCCAGGCAAGCCUGGCUAGCAUCCUGAUGGCAUCUGGAACCUGGUGAUUGAAAAGAGAGUUAACAUACGAAGCCAAACAAAUUGUUGAGCAAUCAUGGACCCAAAGCUUGGAAUAGUGGAGAGGAAGUGUUGGGGGGAUACUCACUGCAAACUCUAGUGUACUUCUGCUUUCAGGUAUAUAUUUUGCAGUAGUUUAUGGAUACGUGUGAACAUAAGCUCUCUCUCACAGAAACUGGUGUAUAUCUAGGUUUUGGGACUUUGUUAGAAAGUGAACCACCUGAGAUAAAAUUAGAGUGUACUAUAAAAGGAAAGUUCUCACCCGAGUAAUGAAGCUGAAGGGUUGUCAUUCCACACGUGAAGUCUCUGGACACAGUCUGAGGUGAAGCAUGUUGAGGUGGCAAUCG